This 586-nucleotide ribosomal RNA is filed under the name uncultured haloarchaeon. RNAcentral's name for it is "bacterial SSU rRNA". It matches the Rfam family "Archaeal small subunit ribosomal RNA", at positions 336 to 921 of the family's 1478-position model. Lineage: Archaea; Methanobacteriati; Methanobacteriota; Halobacteria; Halobacteriales; Halobacteriaceae. The record is from RNAcentral.
CAGGCGCGAAACCUUUACACUGCACGACAGUGCGAUAGGGGGACUCCGARUGCGGAGGCAUAGUGCCUUCGCUUUUGUACACCGUAAGGUGGUGUACGAAUAAGAGCUGGGCAAGACCGGUGCCAGCCGCCGCGGUAAUACCGGCAGCUCGAGUGAUGACCGACUUUAUUGGGCCUAAAGCGUCCGUAGCCGGCCGGGCAAGUUCGUCGGGAAAUCUACCAGCUCAACCGGUAGGCGUCCRGCGAAAACUGCUCGGCUUGGGACAGGGARACUCARGAAGUACGUCCGGGGUAGGAGUGAAAUCCCGUAAUCCUGGRCGGACUACCGAUGGCGAAAGCAUCUUGAGAGAACUGCUCCGACGGUCAGGGACGAAAGCUGGGGUCUCGAACCGGAUUAGAUACCCGGGUAGUCCCAGCUGUAAACGAUGCUCGUUAGGUGCGACGCARACUACGCGUCUGUGCUGUGCCGUASGGAAGCCKARAAACGASCCGCCUGGGAAGUACGUCCGCAAGGAUGAAACUUAAAGGAAUUGGCGGGGGAGCACUACAACCGGAGGAGCCUGCGGUUUAAUUGGAGUCAACGCCGG